Long non-coding RNA from Engraulis encrasicolus (European anchovy), 843 nucleotides. RefSeq lists it as uncharacterized. Lineage: Eukaryota; Metazoa; Chordata; Actinopteri; Clupeiformes; Engraulidae. The transcript is spliced from 2 exons. The record is from RefSeq and is a predicted model, not a curated record.
UGCUGCUGGAUGGGAACCGUCUACAUUUGCUAGAGUGUUCCUCUGGCUGCAGUCUUCUCUCAUAAGAAUGAGGGGGAUGAUGAUCCCUGCCCUGACUCUCCACACAGCCAGGGAGAGCGCGAGUAACGUGUGCACGCACACGAGCACGCACACACACACACACACACACACACACUACUGGAUGUCUUUCUGGAUGUCAGUGUUGUUUUAAUUAAUUAUGUGUGUGUCUUUUGUAAAAAAUAAAAAAUAAUAAUUAUAGUGUUAAAAAAUAUUAGAUGAGAUCCAUCCCACCCCCUAGUCACCGAAUCCUACCCCUCCCCUCGAAAAUAUUAGUUUACUACUUAUUCAUGAAAACAUAAUUUUUGGCAUUUCGCAGCACUGUUUCAAUGAAUAGAGUAGCUGUAAUACCUACAUUGGACACAAUCUUACACACUGCACCUUUUUAAAAUCCCUUGCGCAUAGAAGCAGUAAACUUUUAAAUAAGUCCAAUUCAAAGGAGUUAUCCGUACUGCAUAUUAUAGUAUGGUGUGUUGUAUUAUCUUUUUAUUGCCAGUAUUUCAUUGUAAUCUUUUUGGCUGCUACCGUAUGUUUUUUAUUUUAUUUUUAUUAUUUAUUUAUUUAUUUAUUUUAUUUAACGCCUGAAGGCAAGACAAAUAGUCUUUGGUGCAGGAAAGGUUUCUUAAUGGUUAUGGCCAUUUCAGUUAGAAGCCAAGUGUUUUGCUUAUUUCUGUGUUAAUGUUUUUUUUUUUUUGCCCUUAAUACCUACUGGGAUCGUGGUUGUUAAUUGAAUGCUUGAUUAAUUUUUGUUUUUUAGAAUAUUAAAUAAACUGACUUUCUACUUUA